This 572-nucleotide long non-coding RNA is filed under the name Marmota monax (woodchuck). Lineage: Eukaryota; Metazoa; Chordata; Mammalia; Rodentia; Sciuridae. The record is from RNAcentral.
GGAGAUUCACAUUGUCUUCAAACCCAUGUUUUAAAUAUUUUUCACUUUUCCUAGGAAAGGGCCUGGGGCCCAGAGAGCUUGCAUAUUUAGUCAGACCUAGAAGAUGUGCUCCUGAACAAGCCGAAAAGACAGUCAGAAGGACAAGAGGAAGCAUAGGCAACAAGGAUUAAAUCGACAGACUGGAUUUCAUGAAAAUGGGAAUUUUGUGACUCCGAAGACCAUCAAUUGAGCAAAAAGGCAACCCACUGGUGAGGAGGAAAUAUUUGCAAAUGAUAUAGCUGGGAAUAAAGAACUUCUAAAACAAAAAACCUAAAGAGCCUAAUUUAAAAAUGGUCCAAGGCCUUACAUAGAAAUCUCUUCCAAGAAGUUAUAAAAAUGGCCAAUAAGUGUAUAAAAUACGUUCAGCAUCGAUAAUGGUUAGGGAAGUGUCAUCAAAUAAGCAAAAUAAGCCAAACCCCCAAAACCAAAGGCCAAAUGUUUUCUCCAAGAAGCAGAUGCUGAUCCAUAUGGGGCGGGGGAUAAGGGAAGAAUGAAGGAACUUUGGAUUGUGCAGAGGGGAAUGAGGGGAGGGG